Long non-coding RNA from Archocentrus centrarchus (flier cichlid), 771 nucleotides. RefSeq lists it as uncharacterized. The record is from RefSeq and is a predicted model, not a curated record. The transcript has 3 exons. Lineage: Eukaryota; Metazoa; Chordata; Actinopteri; Cichliformes; Cichlidae.
UCAAAAGGACAGUGAUUAUUACUGUACUGCCAGUAACGACAUAAGCAGGGAGGAGAGUGAGUUCAUCUCUGUGCAGGUUCUGGUGCCUGCAAACAGCAACUGUAUCUAUGUUGUUAAUAUUCAGGGCCAACCCAUUUAUGACUGUGCAGACAGAAUGAGCACCACCACAGUCACAACUCCACCUCUGACCUCCUGCCAAGCUGCCAGGAAAAAGAGUGAUAACACAAGAAACCAAACUUCACAACUGAAUGAAACUGCCCACGGCAGGGCAUGGACCGGGCUGCCACUUUGGUAUACAUUACUACGCUGGGGUUCUUUUCUGGCCUUGCUGAUAACUUUGUGCGUAGUUGUGAAAUGCACAAAAAGAAGAAAAAAAAAAUAUGCCAACCGAAGCAAGAAUGCUCACUUCAGGCGAAUUUCUCAUGCGGCUCAGUGAGCUGCACUUUAGGGUGGUAGUUCUGUGGAAGUUAAAAUGAGCCUCUGUGACAUUGGUUUUGUGGCUUUAUUGUUGACCAAAGUUCUUUGAUCACGUGAGCAUUUGUGAAGUGGGUAGGCCAUAAUGUGUGUCAGCCUGUUUAUCAGGAUGUCUCAUGCAACAUUUAUCAAAAUGGUCUUUAAUUUAUUUGAAAUAAUCGAUUAACAAAGGGUCUACCAGAGCGUUCGGAUACAAGUCAUCCCAGAUCCUUGGUUGCUUUACUAGUUAUUGCUUGAAAGAGCAAUGACACCACUUGUAUUGUACAUUAAUAACUUACAAAAAAAAGCAACAAAGCU